RNAcentral lists this ribosomal RNA (247 nucleotides) under uncultured bacterium. Its description in RNAcentral is "partial 16S ribosomal RNA". It matches the Rfam family "Bacterial small subunit ribosomal RNA", at positions 523 to 769 of the family's 1533-position model. The record is from RNAcentral.
AUACGGGGGGUGCGAGCGUUGUCCGGAAUCAUUGGGCGUAAAGAGUUCGUAGGCGGCACGUAAAGUCUGGUGUUAAAGGCGUAUGCUCAACAUACGUACGGCACUGGAUACUUGCGAGCUAGAAUGCGGUAGAGGUAAAGGGAAUUCCUGGUGUAGCGGUGAAAUGCUUAGAUAUCAGGAGGAACAUCGGCGGCGUAAGCGCUUUACUGGGCCGUAAUUGACGCUGAGGAACGAAAGCCAGGGUAGC